GAUGAACGCUAGCGACAGGCUUAACACAUGCAAGUCGAGGGGCAGCGGGGGUAGCGAUACCCGCCGGCGACCGGCGCACGGGUGAGUAACGCGUAUGCAACUUGCCUAUCAGAGGGGGAUAACCCGGCGAAAGUCGGACUAAUACCGCAUGAAGCAGGGGCCCCGCAUGGGGGUAUUUGCUAAAGAUUCAUCGCUGAUAGAUAGGCAUGCGUUCCAUUAGGCAGUUGGCGGGGUAACGGCCCACCAAACCGACGAUGGAUAGGGGUUCUGAGAGGAAGGUCCCCCACAUUGGUACUGAGACACGGACCAAACUCCUACGGGAGGCAGCAGUGAGGAAUAUUGGUCAAUGGCCGAGAGGCUGAACCAGCCAAGUCGCGUGAGGGAUGAAGGUUCUAUGGAUCGUAAACCUCUUUUAUAAGGGAAUAAAGUGCGGGACGUGUCCCGUUUUGUAUGUACCUUAUGAAUAAGGAUCGGCUAACUCCGUGCCAGCAGCCGCGGUAAUACGGAGGAUCCGAGCGUUAUCCGGAUUUAUUGGGUUUAAAGGGUGCGUAGGCGGCCUUUUAAGUCAGCGGUGAAAGUCUGUGGCUCAACCAUAGAAUUGCCGUUGAAACUGGGGGGCUUGAGUAUGUUUGAGGCAGGCGGAAUGCGUGGUGUAGCGGUGAAAUGCUUAGAUAUCACGCAGAACCCCGAUUGCGAAGGCAGCCUGCCAAGCCAUGACUGACGCUGAUGCACGAAAGCGUGGGGAUCAAACAGGAUUAGAUACCCUGGUAGUCCACGCAGUAAACGAUGAUCACUAGCUGUUUGCGAUACAUUGUAAGCGGCACAGCGAAAGCGUUAAGUGAUCCACCUGGGGAGUACGCCGGCAACGGUGAAACUCAAAGGAAUUGACGGGGGCCCGCACAAGCGGAGGAACAUGUGGUUUAAUUCGAUGAUACGCGAGGAACCUUACCCGGGUUUGAACGCAUUCGGACCGAGGUGGAAACACCUUUUCUAGCAAUAGCCGUUUGCGAGGUGCUGCAUGGUUGUCGUCAGCUCGUGCCGUGAGGUGUCGGCUUAAGUGCCAUAACGAGCGCAACCCUUGCCACUAGUUACUAACAGGUAAAGCUGAGGACUCUGGUGGGACUGCCAGCGUAAGCUGCGAGGAAGGCGGGGAUGACGUCAAAUCAGCACGGCCCUUACAUCCGGGGCGACGCACGUGUUACAAUGGCGUGGACAAAGGGAAGCCACCUGGCGACAGGGAGCGAAUCCCCAAACCACGUCUCAGUUCGGAUCGGAGUCUGCAACCCGACUCCGUGAAGCUGGAUUCGCUAGUAAUCGCGCAUCAGCCAUGGCGCGGUGAAUACGUUCCCGGGCCUUGUACACACCGCCCGUCAAGCCAUGGGAGUCGGGGGUACCUGAAGUCCGUAACCGAAAGGGUCGGCCUAGGGUAAAACUGGUGAC
This 1440-nucleotide ribosomal RNA is filed under the name uncultured organism. RNAcentral describes it as "16S ribosomal RNA". It matches the Rfam family "Bacterial small subunit ribosomal RNA". The record is from RNAcentral.